This 777-nucleotide ribosomal RNA is filed under the name uncultured Neocallimastigales. RNAcentral's name for it is "partial large subunit ribosomal RNA". It matches the Rfam family "Eukaryotic large subunit ribosomal RNA", at positions 22 to 621 of the family's 3401-position model. Lineage: Eukaryota; Fungi; Neocallimastigomycota; Neocallimastigomycetes; Neocallimastigales. The record is from RNAcentral.
CAUAGCGACUAUCGUGGCAUAUCAAUAAGCGGAGGAAAAGAAACUAACAAGGAUUCCCCUAGUAACGGCGAGUGAAGCGGGAAGAGCUCAAAUUUGAAAUCCUCAAGGGUUUCCCUUGACGAAUUGUAGUUUAAAGAAGUGUUUUCUGUUAGAGAGGUGGUAAAAGUUCUUUGGAAUAGGACAUCAUAGAGGGUGAGGAUCCCGUAUUUGAUCACUUUCUACUAACGUUGUGAUACACUUUCAAAGAGUCGGAUUGUUUGGGAAUGCAGUCCAAAAUGGGUGGUAAAUUUCAUCUAAAGCUAAAUAUUGGCGAGAGACCGAUAGCGAACAAGUACCGUGAGGGAAAGAUGAAAGAGAACUUUGAAAAGAGAGUUAAACAGUACGUGAAAUUGUCAAAAGGGAAGCGUUUGACACCAGUGUUGUUUUUCCGAAAAUCAAUUAAGAAUGGCCGGAUUUUAAGUUUCAUGUACCUUAAAAGCUUGUUCCUUAUUUUUCUUGUCUUUCUUAAUGCACUUUUCGGUUAACAAGUCAACAUCAAUUUCUUUUGUUGUAAAAGGUUAAGAGGAAGGUGGCUUUACUUUCGGGUAAAGUGUUUAUAGCCUUUUAACUCUGCAAUCGGAGAGAUUGAGGUCUGCAGCGUAGAUCCUUCGGGGCUAGAUACGUUUGUGCUAAGUUAUAGCUUUUCAUAGACAACUUGUUGACUAUGUUUAGUCUUGUAGCUUACUCGCUAUGCGCUAUUUUACCUACGCUUAGGAUGUUGAUAUGCAUGACUGAUAU